GAUCAUGGCUCGGGAUGAACGCUAGCGACAGGCCUAACACAUGCAAGUCGAGGGGCAGCGGAGAGGUAGCAAUACCUUUGCCGGCGACCGGCGCACGGGUGAGUAACACGUAUGCAAUCCACCUGUAACAGGGGGAUAACCCGGAGAAAUCCGGACUAAUACCCCAUAAUAUGGGCUCUCCGCAUGGAGGGUUCAUUAAAGAGAGCAAUUUUGGUUACAGACGAGCAUGCGCUCCAUUAG
This 240-nucleotide ribosomal RNA is filed under the name uncultured bacterium. RNAcentral's name for it is "partial 16S ribosomal RNA". It matches the Rfam family "Bacterial small subunit ribosomal RNA", at positions 15 to 244 of the family's 1533-position model. The record is from RNAcentral.